RNAcentral lists this ribosomal RNA (466 nucleotides) under uncultured bacterium. Its description in RNAcentral is "partial 16S ribosomal RNA". It matches the Rfam family "Bacterial small subunit ribosomal RNA", at positions 28 to 507 of the family's 1533-position model. The record is from RNAcentral.
GAUGAACGCUGGCGGCGUGCUUAACACAUGCAAGUCGAACGAUGAAGCCCAGCUUGCUGGGUGGAUUAGUGGCGAACGGGUGAGUAACACGUGAGUGACCUGCCCUUGACUCUGGGAUAAGCCUGGGAAACUGGGUCUAAUACUGGAUAUGACUUCUCAUCGCAUGGUGGGGGGUGGAAAGAUUUAUUGGUCUUGGAUGGACUCGCGGCCUAUCAGCUUGUUGGUGAGGUAAUGGCUCACCAAGGCGACGACGGGUAGCCGGCCUGAGAGGGUGACCGGCCACACUGGGACUGAGACACGGCCCAGACUCCUACGGGAGGCAGCAGUGGGGAAUAUUGCACAAUGGGCGCAAGCCUGAUGCAGCGACGCCGCGUGAGGGAUGACGGCCUUCGGGUUGUAAACCUCUUUCAGUAGGGAAGAAGCGAGAGUGACGGUACCUGCAGAAGAAGCGCCGGCUAACUACGUG